GGCGGGGGGGGUGAAGUGGUUAACACACCAGAUUGUGGCUCUGGCAUGCGUGGGUUCGAUCCCCAUCACUCGCCU
This 75-nucleotide transfer RNA is filed under the name Streptococcus pneumoniae. RNAcentral describes it as "tRNA-His(gtg)". It matches the Rfam family "tRNA". Rfam says of the family: Transfer RNA (tRNA) molecules are approximately 80 nucleotides in length. The record is from RNAcentral. Lineage: Bacteria; Bacillati; Bacillota; Bacilli; Lactobacillales; Streptococcaceae.